GCCCCUUGGCCCGUCCAACCGCCUGAGAGGUGGAGAGCACCGAGUGGACCAGAAGACAGACAAGCAGGAGAUGCCUCCAGACGUCUCCAUCCAUGGAGAACUAGGGUUGAUGGUUCAAAGGCAGCUGUGCGCUUUAACCAACCAGUGUGCUGGGAACCGAACUCUCAUCCUCAACAACAGCGGUCUGCACUUCUAACCACUGAGCUACCUCCCCAGUCCCUUCCUCUCUUUUCUUUAAGAGGCAGUGAGGGGACAACAGGGAUUGAGCAGGAUGGUGAGGAUCAGUCACCAGGGCUUCAGAAGGGACCAGGGAAUCCUCACUGGAGCUAAGUCGCUGAGCACAGCAGACUCAGCCUCUGUGAGAUCAAACUUGGAAUCUGAACGCAGCACAGAGAGAUGAGCAGCGGACAUUUCACCCCCACCGCAUCACCUGAGGAUGCCUGAAAGGCCGCACCUGUGGUUCGGCUUCCCUGCAUUCUCCAUCCACCCCAGGGGAAGCCACUAAGGAUGGGGUGAGAACUUUAUUCCAGGACCACUGGAGAGAGGAAAGCUGAGAGUCUCUGCUUAUUUGGAUCUGGGAAAUGUUCCCAGAAUUCCAUUCCUGUUCUAAACUCAAGCACUAAUGGACCCAAGACUUGGAUGUUUGGGGCUGCCAGAGCCCACUUGGGACUGUAGGAAGCCCCGAGAACACCCUCAAGUGAAGAGUGACAGACUAGAGCCACCCACAGGACUCUGGGCCUAACUCUGCCCCGCCCUGUGGUGCCCCAGUGUUGUAGGCAGAGCAUAAAACUGAUGUGGCAACCCUUAGUCCACCUCCUCCAGGAAGCCUCCCUGACCAACUCAGGCCUCACAAAAGAGCCUUCCUCAACGGACGUUCCCAGUGCUGCAGUGGCAAAGAGAGUCCUGGGCAUCUCUGUUCAUGUCCUCCAUCGGUAAAGAUGCCAGCCCCUAAGGUUCAUGUCCUCCCCACCCCCGCCCAGUCAUACUGAGAACUCAGUGAGGGUGGCUGGCAACUUCCCUCCCUCCCCAACCCCCAAUUCUCUCAGACUACAGCCUGAGACUCCCAAAUCAGAUGAACCCCGGGAAGACCAGGUCCCUCUGAGCCCACAGAGCUUUCAGGAACCAGGUUAGCCAAAAAGUCGACAUGGUUUCGAAUGACACUUUGCAGUUAACACAUGAAAACAAGCAGUGGGAUCUAUGCACAUAAAACGUGAGCUAGAGUCAGAGAGACCUAAGCCAGGGCCUGCGAUGCCUACACAGGCCACAGCGAGGGAGCACUGGCUCCACCUAGUGACCAGAGCCAGAACUGAUUGAAAUAAUUCCCGAUCCGUCAGGGAUUCCCAGAGCUCCUUUCUGCCAAGAAUUAAGAGUCUCCCUAAAGCUGGCUCAAACUUUACCACUCUGAUCCAGGAAACAGAGCCAAGAGAAUUCCCAUAACAUGGGGUUCUCCCUCUUCCCAGCCUGGAGUACCUUGAGGCAGGGCCUUUUCCACUGGGCAGCCUCGACCAUCACUCCUUCCCUCUUCCCCUAAGAAAAUCCGUUCUUUAGUUCAGCUUCUUUUAAGAGCCCUGGCAUUGUGUCACCCACCAUCCAUGAUGUUCGGAGAAACAGCUCAGGACCCCACUGUACUGUAUUAUUUGAAAUUGUAUA
This is a non-coding RNA of Peromyscus maniculatus bairdii (prairie deer mouse), 1650 nucleotides long. The record is from RefSeq and is a predicted model, not a curated record. Lineage: Eukaryota; Metazoa; Chordata; Mammalia; Rodentia; Cricetidae.